Molecule: ribosomal RNA, 410 nt
Filed under: bacterium enrichment culture clone ALO1_GLFRUDD03G3094
Lineage: Bacteria
Description: bacterial SSU rRNA
Rfam family: Bacterial small subunit ribosomal RNA
Source: RNAcentral
GAGUUUGAUCCUGGCUCAGAUUGAACGCUGGCGGCAUGCCUUACACAUGCAAGUCGAACGGCAGCACGGGAGCUUGCUCCUGGUGGCGAGUGGCGAACGGGUGAGUAAUGCAUCGGAACGUAUCCUGGAGUGGGGGAUAACGUAGCGAAAGUUACGCUAAUACCGCAUAUUCUGUGAGCAGGAAAGCGGGGGACCUUCGGGCCUCGCGCUCUUGGAGCGGCCGAUGUCGGAUUAGCUAGUUGGUGAGGUAAAGGCUCACCAAGGCGACGAUCCGUAGCAGGUCUGAGAGGAUGAUCUGCCGCACUGGAACUGAGACACGGUCCAGACUCCUACGGGAGGCAGCAGUGGGAAUUUUGGACAAUGGGGGCAACCCUGAUCCAGCCAUGCCGCGUGAGUGAAGAAGGCCUCGG